GAUGAACGCUAGCGGCAGGCCUAAUACAUGCAAGUCGGACGGGAUUUGGGAGCUUGCUCCUAAUGAGAGUGGCGCACGGGUGCGUAACACGUAUGUAACCUACCUUAAUCAGGGGGAUAGCCUCUCGAAAGAGAGAUUAACACCGCAUAAUAUAUUUUUAUGGCAUCGUAGAAAUAUCAAAUAUUUAUAGGAUUAAGAUGGGCAUGCGGAACAUUAGCUAGUUGGUAAGGUAACGGCUUACCAAGGCUACGAUGUUUAGGGGAUCUGAGAGGAUGACCCCCCACACUGGUACUGAGACACGGACCAGACUCCUACGGGAGGCAGCAGUAAGGAAUAUUGGUCAAUGGGCGCAAGCCUGAACCAGCCAUGCCGCGUGCAGGAAGACGGCCCUAUGGGUUGUAAACUGCUUUUGUACCGGAAUAAACCCUUUUACGUGUAAGAGGCUGAAUGUAUGGUAAGAAUAAGGAUCGGCUAACUCCGUGCCAGCCGCCGCAGUAA
Molecule: ribosomal RNA, 498 nt
Filed under: uncultured bacterium
Lineage: Bacteria
Description: partial 16S ribosomal RNA
Rfam family: Bacterial small subunit ribosomal RNA
Source: RNAcentral